RNAcentral lists this long non-coding RNA (851 nucleotides) under Olea europaea subsp. europaea. The record is from RNAcentral. Lineage: Eukaryota; Viridiplantae; Streptophyta; Magnoliopsida; Lamiales; Oleaceae.
GAAAUAAUGUCUAUAAUGUUGCCUCAAUGACAAUUUCGGGAACAAAGAUUGUCAAAGAAAAGUUAACGGAAGCAAUGAAGUUACUUGAAAAGGAUGAGGAAACUAUCAAUGUGUUUCAGAAGUUUAGAAAAGAUGAUGAUCAUUUUACUUGUGAUGCUCUUAUGGAUGAGCCAAGAAUAUUAAAUCCACCAACUGUGAAAGCCAAAGGAACAACAAAUGCAAGAUUAAAAAGCACUUUGGAGAAAAGAAAAAGGAAGGCAAAGAAAGGUAAUAAAUAUAAUAAUUUUAUUUUUUUAUUACAAUUAUUACCCUUAUUCAAUUCUUAAAUAAUAUAUGAUUUUUUUGUCACUUAUGAUGAUUACAUUUGGCUUAUAGUUGGAGAAGACAAUCAUCAAAAAAUGGGUGACACACCUUACCCAACAUUCUCGCCUACGAUGACUACCUUUACCCCGUUUAUUCAUCAUCUAGCUCCCGAGCAUUCAAAUUUUCACCUUUCAAGCAUGCUUCAAAGCUACAACAAUAUGCAUUACUUGACUAAGGUAUUAUUAUUAUUAUUAUUAUUAUUAUUAUUAUUAUUAUUAUUAUUAUUAUUAUUAUUAUUAUUAUCAGUCAAUGACUUAUUUUUAUGCAGGAUCCAAGCUAUUAUAAUUUUGAUGAUCUACAGAGAAAAGAUUAAUGACUAUGUAGUGGAAGUUUUGAUAUGAGACUGGUACGAGCUUUAUUAAAUAAAAUGCAUUUGAUGAAGUUAUAAGCUUUGUACCAAUGAACUUGAUUUGUAAAUUUGUUUUAUCUGUUUGUUUACACUUUUCAGGUGAUUGAAGUUAUUGUAGAAGAUAAAAAAAGGGGUAUAU